UACGGAGGGUGCAAGCGUUAUCCGGAUUCACUGGGUUUAAAGGGUGCGUAGGUGGGCAGGUAAGUCAGCGGUGAAAUCCCCGAGCUUAACUUGGGAACUGCCAUUGAUACUAUCUGUCUUGAAUACCUUGGAGGUGAGCGGAAUAUGUCAUGUAGCGGUGAAAUGCUUAGAUAUGACAUAGAACACCAAUUGCGAAGGCAGCCCACUACACGGUCAUUGACACUGAGGCACGAAAGCGUGGGGAUCAAACAGG
This 253-nucleotide ribosomal RNA is filed under the name uncultured bacterium. RNAcentral describes it as "partial 16S ribosomal RNA". It matches the Rfam family "Bacterial small subunit ribosomal RNA", at positions 524 to 776 of the family's 1533-position model. The record is from RNAcentral.